Molecule: ribosomal RNA, 600 nt
Filed under: Bifidobacterium pseudocatenulatum
Lineage: Bacteria; Bacillati; Actinomycetota; Actinomycetes; Bifidobacteriales; Bifidobacteriaceae
Description: bacterial SSU rRNA
Rfam family: Bacterial small subunit ribosomal RNA
Source: RNAcentral
CGGGGGGUGCUUACCUGCAGUCGAACGGGAUCCAUCAGGCUUUGCUUGGUGGUGAGAGUGGCGAACGGGUGAGUAAUGCGUGACCGACCUGCCCCAUACACCGGAAUAGCUCCUGGAAACGGGUGGUAAUGCCGGAUGCUCCGACUCCUCGCAUGGGGUGUCGGGAAAGAUUUCAUCGGUAUGGGAUGGGGUCGCGUCCUAUCAGGUAGUCGGCGGGGUAACGGCCCACCGAGCCUACGACGGGUAGCCGGCCUGAGAGGGCGACCGGCCACAUUGGGACUGAGAUACGGCCCAGACUCCUACGGGAGGCAGCAGUGGGGAAUAUUGCACAAUGGGCGCAAGCCUGAUGCAGCGACGCCGCGUGCGGGAUGACGGCCUUCGGGUUGUAAACCGCUUUUGAUCGGGAGCAAGCCUUCGGGUGAGUGUACCUUUCGAAUAAGCACCGGCUAACUACGUGCCAGCAGCCGCGGUAAUACGUAGGGUGCAAGCGUUAUCCGGAAUUAUUGGGCGUAAAGGGCUCGUAGGCGGUUCGUCGCGUCCGGUGUGAAAGUCCAUCGCUUAACGGUGGAUCUGCGCCGGGUACGGGCGGGCUGGAGUGCG